Molecule: long non-coding RNA, 31013 nt
Filed under: Nicotiana tabacum (common tobacco)
Lineage: Eukaryota; Viridiplantae; Streptophyta; Magnoliopsida; Solanales; Solanaceae
Description: long non-coding RNA (NTAB_LNC004242)
Source: RNAcentral
CUCUUCAUCCUCAAUUUUGUCAAGCAUCUCCAUUUUCUCACUGAUUAGUGUUAAGUGUAUUCAUAAAAGACAUAAAUCUAUCAUUCCUUAGUGUAAAUAUAUCAUGCUGACAAAAAAAAUCACUUCUCUCGAUUCCUUUUUUUUUUUUGUUGUAGAUCACUCAAUGUAAUACUAGCAUUUAAAAAAAAAAAGGAUAUGGUUUGGGAUUCAAUCGAACGACUAGAAUCAAGACUCGCCGACACGUUCUAUUAAAUGGACCCAACCCAAUGAUGACGAAAGGUCCAAUCAAGUAAUAAAUCAAAGGACCAUUUGACUCAGCUGAUUUAAUUUCUCUCUGAAGAUAAUAAAGAAGUGUAUUACAUGAGGGAUUCUUGUGAUUCACAUUUCACAUCAGAAGCCCACUCCCACUAAUUGUCGACACUCAACGCUCCCUGUGUAAAUAUCAAUCAACUUGUGUUGUUGCGGAUUUCACAAUGGAUAUUCUUCCAUUUGUUUAUCAUAAAUAUUGUGGUUAAUUGAAUCAUAAUGAUAAUAAUAUUCACAACAAAUAUAUUUUCUCCUUUUCUUUUGGAAUAAUAAGAUGCAGUUUUUGACCACUAUGGUGUGUUUGGUAGGAAGGAAAAUAUUUAUGAUCUCAUUUUUCUCCAAUUAAAAGAAAAUAUUUUUCAAAAUUCUUUCUCAAUCUUUUUCAUCCUAUUUCUCAUCCUCAUCAACCCACCCCCACACCCACCCACCCAACCGCCCUACUCACCCCACCCUAAAUAAAAAUAUUUUUAAUACUAUUUUCUUUUCAUUUUAUAGAUAGAUUUUUUUUUUGUAUUUCAAUAAAUGAGUAUUUUUUACAUGAUAUAAAAAAGUAUUUUUUUCAUUUCAACAAAAAAAAUACUUUCUUUUCAUAGAAAAAAUAUUUUCUUUCGUUUCAACAAUAAAAAAAUAUUUUCUUUUUAUGAUUUAAAUCUUUUUNNNNNNNNNNUACCAAACACACCCUAUAUCUUCCGUAUUACAUACACUAAAAUAGUACACGUAACAUUCCAUUCGUCUUGGUAACUUAUCUUUUACCUAGUAUUUGGUUUGCUUUUUUGUAUAUAGUCUUACUUUGUCUUGUUCAUGUCGGACUAUUUCAUCAAUUUCAUUUUAAGUGUUAAUAUUGAGAAAAAAUCCAAUAUAAUAUAUUAUUAUAUUAUAUUAUAUUUGAACUGCUUUCCUACUCAAAUAAUUUAUUUUAUUGUUAAUUUUAAUAUAGAAAAAUAUACCUAAUUAUUAAAGAACAACUAAGAAAAAUUUUAAGAAUAUAAAUGUGUGAGAAAAAAUAGGAAAAAAUGUUAGUAAAAGCCAAUAUCACUAAUGAUUUUGCAAACAUAAAGAUCUAAAGGUGGAAUGUCAUCGAUGUUUUUACUCUUUGAAAAUAAAACCACUUGGUGGAUAAAAUUAUAAUCACGGUUAAAUAUUCAAACAUGAGAUGAACUAAUAUUAAGAAUCUAAAUCAACAGAAAAUGAAUUAUAUUUCAUGUUAAAACCAAAUAAUUAAAUCUUUCAAUUAUUUAUUUAGCAAGAGAAUACAAUUAAAUUAUUUUUUAAAUUCAUCAUAUGAGAGAAAUUAUUUUUCAAGUUGAAAAAAAUAUAAUAUUAAGAAGAUCAUACAAGUAUUUGAGGAAGCACAAUCUAAGCUAAAUCCUGAACAAGAAUAAGUUUUCAAGAUUAUAUUAUAAAAACUGACUCGGGUAUAGCGGGAUUAUCUUUUGUAGAUGCCUCCGACGGAAUCAAAAUAAUAUUUCUAUGUCAUGUAUUAUUUGCAAAUAUCAAAUCAAGAGGCAUGAUAUUAUUAGCAGUAAGAACAAGUGGUUUACCAACAACAAUUUUAUUAUGAGGUCGUACAACUCACUUUAGAUUUGAUAUACCUCUUGAAAUAACUGAAAUAACCAUCACAAAUAUGUCAAAUCAGAUCAAUAGUGCUAAAUUUAUAAGGAAAACAAAAGUUAUGGGAUGAAGCGAAUUUGGCUAAGCGUCAAACGAUCAAAAUAAUUACCCAUUGUUUUAGAGAUAUAUUGGAUAUCGAGAACCAUUUGGUAAAAACGUAAUAGUUUGGGAGGUGAUUUCUGUCAGAUACGAUCAGUAGUUCCAAAAUUGACCAAAGCAGAAACUGUAAAGCUAGCUUUCCAAAAUUAUACUUAUGACCUCAAAUAAAAAAUAUUCAAAUGACAAGAAAUAUAAAAUUAAUAACAAAUCCAACAUUCAAUGACUUCUUGCUUCCUGUCGGAAACGAAGAAGAGCAUCAAAUAAAAGAUGAUUUGGUUCUUCUAGAACACUUGGUUAUUGUAAUGAUCCGGCUGGUCGUUUUGAGUAUCUGCACUUCGCUCGGUAUUUUGAGGUCUCGAGUAUCUUCGCAUGAUGUAUUAUGACUUGUGUAAGUCGUCGGUAUUGGUUUUCAAGUUAUCCGAAAUCGAUUUGGAAGAAUGAACUUAAAGAUUUAAGCUCUAAGUUGGAAGAGUUGACCAAGUUUGAUUUUUUAGCAUUUAACCUCGGAAUACAAUUCCGUCAAUUCCGAUAGCUCCGUUGGGUAAUUUUGGACUUAGGAGCGCGUCCGAACUGUAAAUUGGAGGUCCGUAAUUGAAUAAGUCUUGAAAUGGCGAAAGUUGGAUUUUUGGAAAGUUUGACGGGGAGUGGACUUUUUGAUAUCGUGGUCGGAUUUCGAUUUCGUCAGUUCGAAUAGGUCUGUAAUGACAAAUGUGACUUGUAUGAAAAAAUUGGGAUCAAUUGCACGUGAUUUAAUAGGUUUCAGCAUCGGUUGUAGAAGUUGAAGUUUCAAAGUUCAUUGACUUGGACUUGAGAUACGAUUUGUCGUUUUGAGGUUGUUAUGCGUGAUUUGAAGCUUCGAGUAGGUUCGUUUUGUCAUAUAGAACUUGUCCGCAAAAUUUAGAUCCAUUUGGAAUUGAUUUGAUAUGGUUCGGACACUUGGUUGUGAUUCUAGAAGUUCUUAAAGUUUAGUUUGAUCCUCAUGCAUUUAGGCGUCCGAUUCGUGGUUUUAGAGGUUAUUUUGAUGAUUUGAUCGCACGAGCGAGUUCGUGUUGUGUUUCUGGACUUUGGUUCAUGGUUAGUUUGGAUCCUCAAGGGCUCGGGUGAGUUUCGGAAUGAUUUUUCAUAAACUUUGAUUUUUGGUAAUGGUAUCAUCACAGUUGCGAUGUUUUUGUCGCAAAUGCGACAACCGCAAUUGCAAAGCAGCCAUCGCAUUUACAAGGUCUGGGCUGCUGGGAAAAUUUGCAUUUGCCAAGAACCCUGCCGCAUUUGCGAAAUGUUGGUCUUCGUAUUUGCGAAGUAUUGGGUCGCAAAUGCGACCUUGACAGGAAAACUUCUUGAGAGUCGAAUAGGACUCGGAUUUGAAAACAAAAUAUAUAUUUGAACUCGUGAGGCUAUGGGUAGUCAAGACCUACCAUUGGACCCGGAUUUUUACCUGGCGGGCCAGGGGUUUGACUUUUUAGAAAUCUAAUAAAAAUCACAGUUUUAUUAAUUAAAAUUACUUUCUCUUUCAUUGUGUGAUGUAUUCAAGUCAUCGUUGGAUAGAUUGAGCCGAGCGGAGGCGAAUUUGUAAAGGAAAAGGCUAAAUUUAGUAUUGAGUUAGCCGAAUUGAGGUAAGUGUCUUGCCUAACUUUGUUGAGGGAAUUUUUCCUCCUAUUUGACAAUGUUUUCUACAUGCGGGGGUGAUACAUAUAUGAGGUGACGAGCGUAUAUAUAUGUGCCAGGGUUAAUCAUGCUUGGGGGUAGAUUAUGUAUAAUUAUGUCUUGUACAAUUACGUGACCUUCUUGCUCCAUGCCUUACUUGACUCUUAGAUACUAAGAACAUAGUAUUAAAUGUUGAAAAUCAAGAUUUAAAUUAUUAUAACUUGAUCAAAUUUGAUGGAAUUCUAAGAAUACAUUUAUGUGUCUAAUUCGGUUAUUCCUAUGCGUAGUCAUUAAUACAUUGCUACAGCCGAUCUUCUAGAGAUACUAGAUUCUAUACUUGUGUUGUUGAUCAUUUGGAGAUUUGUGGAAGUACUUGAAUAAUACGGUUCUUGAGGGUUUAUUGAAUCAUCGUUGGCUUGGAAAGUUGUGAUUGGGAUUUGUUUGGAAUAUUCGUUUAAACACUCUCCUUGAUGUUAUUUAUUCCCCAUGUGUUGUUUGUCAUUGAUAUACACAUGUUUGGUAAGGAAGAGUGUAAAGUACGAAGGGUGAUGCCGUGCCAUAGUUAUACAUUAUCAUGUGAGGGAGAGUGUAAAGCACGAAGGGUGAUGUCGUGCCAUAUUAUUUGAGAGUAAAAGCACGAAGGGUGAUGCCGUGCCAUAUUAUUUGAGAGUAAAAGCACGAAGGGUGAUGCCGUGCCAUAUUAUUGGGAGUAAAAGCACGAAGGGUGAUGCCGUGCCACAUCAUUUGAGAGUAAAAGUAGGAAGGGUGAUGUUGUGCCAUUUCAUUUAUAUUGUUAUGCUUUUAUGUUAUCGUGAGAUCAUGGCACGAUGGGUGUUUUCGUGCAGGUGAGGAUGAGGGACAUGCAUCAUGUUGUGAUAUCUGUUUUUCCGUGUAUAUGUUCACGUCUUUAUCUUGAACGGUUAUUGUCGUAUUUAUAGACCUCGUGUGACUUGUUAUUAUUGUCCUGUCCUUGCUCUCUAUUUCAAUCGUUGUUGUGUUGUACAUAUCUUGUACUUGUUUUAUUUGCAAAACACAUGCCUAUUUCCUGUUGUUAUAAUUACCUCCAUGUCGUGUCUAUUCUGUUGCAUUUUAGUACAAGCCCUUUUUCUAUGUUAGUUAUUCAUGCCUCUGCUUGUUAACUUGUAAAGAUCAUGUGAUUCCUUCUUAUUUGUUAUAUCUGUACUUAGGCCUCCAUCAUGCUAGUUAAUUGAAGUUGAUAUUCCUUAUUUUUCAAUUGUUGUCAUUACUCACAUGCUUUCCGCCUAGUCUUUUAUUGUUGCCCACAUGUAUAUCCUCGUUCAUUAUUGCUACUUGCGUAUUUCCUACUUUGUAAUUCCUAUUUUCGAUAUUUAUGUCAUCUAGUUGGUUCUAUUAUAAGUAUAUGAGGAUGAGAUAAAAGCACGAAGGGUGUUGCCAUGUAAUUAACUUGAUAUCUGAGUACAUUCCUCAUGCUAUGAAAGUUAUGAAGUGACUGUAGUGGUUUAUCAGUUUCAUUCUAAGGAAAGCGAUGGUCAAGGUAUUGUAAGAUGCUAAAUUGUGAUCACUGCUAGUAUUCGAUUAUUAUUUGCGUAUUCGUUUCAUGUAAUCUUUUCUGUUAUAGCGUGGUAUAACUCUAUUGUUGAUUUAUACUACAGGUUUUUAUCAGUGAGUAUCUUUUAACUAAAAAGCCUCGUCACUACUUCCACGAGGUUAGACGAGAUACUUACCAGUAUAUGGGGUCGGUUGUACUGAUACAACACUUCUGCACAUUGCGUGCAGAUUUUGGAGUGGAGCUGCAAGUGAUAUCGGGUGCUGACUUUGAAGAUGUUCAUGCAUUCUGGAUAUAGUUUCCACUUGUCCUUGGUAGCUUAGGUUGUGCUAAUCUCUUAAGUAAAUUUCAAACACAUCGUGUAAUUAUUUGUACUAGCUUUAUAAAUUCCAAGUCUUAGAAGGUCAUGGUUCGUACUACUAGUUCUUGGGUAAAUUUGUAAAUGUUCAGAUAAUUCUUCUCUAUUCUUACUAUAAUCUCAUUCAGAUUGUAUUUUCUGUUAGUGGCUUACCUAGCGGAUCGAGUUAGGUGCCAUAACGACUUGUGAUUUUUGGGUCGUGACAGUUAUCAACCCCAAUGGUAAUAGUAGUGCAUUUAAUAAAGAAAAUAUUUUCAUCAUUAGAUUAAAAUGCAAUUUGUGUAAAUUAUAUGAUAGAAAUUAAAGAGCUAUCUUAGCUAGCAAAAAUGAAUAUACUGAUCAACUAAAUAAAAGGUUGAUUGCUAUGUUUUAUGGUAAUGUUACACCCAAUGUUUCGUACGUAAAAGUAUGCCAUAAGUAAAUUAAUGGGAGCUCGGAAAUGAGAUGUUACAUCUCGCAUUUUCGUGUGUUAAAGUUUUUUCGUAAGUUAAUCGAUGUAAGUUUGGGAAUGAUAUUAUUUUGAGAUUAUAAAUAUUAUGCUAUUUCAAACAAGCGACAAGUAAAUUCGUGAAUGUGAAAGGGUAAGCUGUAGCGAUCCGGCAGGUCAUUUUGAGAAUUAAUGCCCCGAUCAUCUAUUCACUGCUUUCCCCGUAUCUAUUUCUAUUAUUGUGAAUUGCCGGGAUGGUUCAUCUUGAGUUUCGGAGUGUUUUGGGACACUUAGACCCUAAAUAAGAGCGUAAGUCUUAGAAUUUGGACCGUAGUCGGGGAAGUAUGAAGAUGUCUCCGGAAUAGAAUUACGUUGAUUCCGCUAGCUCCGUUGGGUGAUUUCGGUCUUAGAGGCAUGUUUGGAUUGCGUUUUGGAGGUCUGUAGCUCAUUUAGGCUUGAAAUGGCGAAAGUUGAUUUUUUGGAGUUUCGGCCCAACAGUGGAAAUUUUGACAUCAGGGUCAAAAUCCGAUUCUAAAAGUUGGAAUAGGUCCAUAGUAUUGAAUAUGACUUGUGUGCAAAAUUUGGGUUCAAUCGUACGUGUUUUGCUUGGUUUCGGUAUCAGAUGUAGAAUUUUGGAAAUUCAAGUUUUUAAGUUUGGAUUAGAGGGUGAUUCGUAGUUUUAGAGUUGUUUGAUGUGAUUUGAGUGAUCAACUAAGUUCAAAUGAUGUUUUAGGAUUGAUUGGUAUGUUUGGUUGAGGUUCCAGGGGCCUCGGGUGAGUUUCGGAUGCUCAACGGGUCAUUUUUGGACUUAAAGAAGUGGCAGAUUUUCUGGUGUUUUGUUGCAGUGAAAUCCUUCAUCGCGUUCGCGAGAGGAGUCUCGUGUUCGCGUAGAGCAUCUGGGAGAAGCAGCUAAGUGGUACUUUGCAUUCGCGAAGGUGUGGACCCUUUAGCCUACGCGUUCGCGACAUGGUCCUCGCGUUCGCGAAGGGUCUGCCAGUGUAAGCUAUGCGUUUGCGAAAGGACCCUCGCGUUCGCGAAAGAGGAAUUUGGGCCAGUGGGAUUUUUCUCAACGCGUUCGCGAAGAAGGACGCAUCUGGGCAGAAUUUAAAAAUCCAAAAUCGAGGGUUUGAGUUCAUAAUUUUAAAAAUUAAUAGAGAGCUCGGUAGAAGGCAAAAUUUGGAGAGAUUUUCGGAGGAAGUUUGUGGGUAAUGAUUCCUAACUACUUUUUUAUUAUAUCCCAUUAAUCUAAGCUCAAUUUCAUCAUUUAAUUUCGAAUUUGGGGUGAAAAUUUAGGGAAAAUUUUAGAAAAUCUUUAGGCCGAAUUUUGGGAUUUUGAUCGAUAUUUUGGUAUCGGAUUUGGGUGAAUUUGGUAUGGUUAGACUCGUGAGUGAAUGAGUGUUCAUAAUUUGUGAUUUUUACCUGAUUCCUAGAUUUUGGUCCGGGGAGGAUUUUUUGGCAUUUUCCUAUUUUCUUACCUUAGCUUUGAAUUAAUUAGUUAAACUAGUUGCUUGUAGUUUUAUUUACGUUAUGUAAUUAAUUUGAUUAGAUUUGGGCUACUUUGAGUUGGAUACUCGUGGCAAGAGCGUGAUAUCAGAUUGAUUUUGAGCUGGUUCGAGGUAAGUGGCUUGCUUAACCUUGUGUGGGGGGAAUUUCCCUUAGGAUUUUGGUACUGUUAUUAUAUGAAUGCCGUGUACGUGAGGUGAUGAGUGCGUACAUGUGCUAAUUGUUAAAAAACUCCGUUUUCUUUAAGUAAAUAUCUAUGUUUUUCCUUUAAUUGAACAAUACUAGUGUGUGAAGCCUCAUGUUUAGCUCAGGAAAGCAUGCUUAUGUGACUUAAUUGUCUUAUUUGCGUUAACUGCUUAUUUGGAUUCUGUGUAGCAUGUCUAGAGUAGGAAUUUCCUAUUUCUUGAUACGAACUUGAAUAGAACUGUCAAUUUCUUGUUAAGACUAUUGUGUAUUUACUUUGGGACUACGGAUCGGUAUUUCGAGAGAUCUCCCUGCACAUUUAUAUUUGGGACUAAGGGACGGUAUCCUGGGAGAUACCCCUGUACUAGAUAUUUACUUUGGGACUACAGAUCGGUAUCCUGGGAGAUUCUCUAUACAUUUACGUUUGGGACUACCAGACGUUAUCCUGGGAGUUCCCCCUGUUGUUAUCUUUGUGUAUUGAGUUAUUUCUUUAUGUGAUAUCAUCUUUAUUGACUGUUAGUAUUUUAAUUAUACUGUCACAUUUCAUACUGUUUUACCUUGUUAUAUAUAUAACCAGUAGGGCCCUGACCUGAUCUCGUCACUACUCGACCGAGGUUAGGCUUGACACAACUGGGUACCGCUGUGGUGUACUCAUGCCCUUUCUUGCACAUGUUUUUCGUGUGUAGAUCCAUGUUCUUCUGCUCAACCAUACUAUCCGUGAGGCGAGGUGAUUCGGAGACUUCGAGGUAUAUCUACCGCGUUCGCAGGCCUGGAAGUCCCUCUCUAUUCUCCCUUCAGUUAUAGACUUCUUGUAUUUUUCUUCGUUUAGACUUCUGGAGUUAGAACACUAUGUAUUUCUUUAGCUUGUGAUUCAUGCGAUUCCGGGUUUUGGGAGUGCUAUGUUCAGUCGAGAGUGUUAUUAUUGUAUAUGCCGAGCGACAUUUUAAACUCUUUUAUUAUAGUUACUUGUUAGUUGGCUAGUUUUGUUUCUUUAAUUCAUUUUCCGCAAAUUGUUAGGCUUGACUAGUAGACUAGGUGCCAUCACGAUAGUUCACGGAGGGAGAACUUGGGUCAUGGCAUAAGCGAAUCGAAGAAAGUGAAUUUCGGCGAAGUUUGACUUUUUGAGAUAAAUACGAUCCAAGCUACAAUACCCCGUAUUUAUGGAUUAGUGUCAUACAAGGUACCACAUGACCAUGAUAGUAAGAUGUAUAAGGUAUGUUAAAAGUGAGUAGUAUUUUAAGUAAUUUGAGAUAAUUCUUAAUUAUGCAGGUAAUUAAUUAACUAUUGGGUAAUGAGAGAUUACCUAGUUAAUUAAGGAUUUAUUGGGUGAUUAAUUAAGCACAUUUGGAUAAGUAUUAAACUCCAAGAUGGCAGCAAAUUAAGCCCAAUUUUAUGACUCAUUAGUCAUUAGGAUAGGUGGCACAUUAAGGGGUCUUUGGGCAAGACUAAUCCCUAAAAAAUGAGGCCCACCUAAAAAUUUAGUAUAACUUUUCUAGUUCAAAAAUCAUUCUCCUAACCUCUUAAAAGACUUUCAGCAAAGGAGUGUAGUAACGUUAUUGACAAAAACAUUCUGCCAAGGAAUAUAGCAACAUUAUUGACAAAGAGUUUCAGCCAAGGAACGUAGCAACGUUAUUGAGAAAGAGUUUUAGCCAAGAUUAUCUUUGCAUAGCAACGCUAUUGCUUCGAGCAUUUUAUACGUAUUUCUCCUACUCCAAUUUUACCGUCACGUAUUUUGUUGCAAUUAACGUGUGUUAGUGGAAUUGUCAAGAAAAUCGACUCAGGCAUGUUAAGGAUAUCACUUCUUUCUUUUGGUGUGAUGUAUAUGACACAAACGAAACAAGAAAAAUCCACAACUUCCAUAAAUGACUCUAUUCAUAGAAUUAUUAGAGGUGCCUAUGUUCUUGAAUUUCCAUGUGUCCUAUUAUUUUAUAAUCUAUUCAUGAGCCUCAGAAAAAUACGUAAAUUGAUUUUAUGAUAUUAAUCAGAGGCAUAAUGGUCUUAUGACACUCCGAAAGAUUUUAUUGACGUACUUCUCAUGAAUUGCAUUCAUUUACAUUGACCCAUGACCAGAUGGAGUUAUAUACGCGUAUAUAUGUAUAUUAUAUGCAUAUGGGAUAUGGAAAAAGGUUACUGCAUUAUAUACGCACAACCACCUGAUCAGCUGGUAUACGUUGAUGAUUUUACCCACAGUGGCCGAGAUGAUGUGAUGAGAUGCCCUCAUAGGCUUGAUGAUGUUAUGAAUACAUGUACUAUGCAUGACAUGACAUUGAUACGCAUAUGCAUGACACUAUAAGUAUUUCAUGAUUUACAGAGUUAUCCAGACUUACGGGUUAAGUCAUUUACUCCAUGUUUCUUUCAUGUCUUUUAUGUACUUAUUUGUGUGCCUUACAUACUCGGUAUAUUAUUCGUACUGACAUCCUUUUUUCCUUGGGACGCUACGUUUCAUGCCCGUAGGUCCCAAUAGAUAGGUCGAAAGUCCUCCAAGCAGGCUAUCAGCUCAGCGGAAGAUGUUGGUGUGCUCCAUUUGCUCCGGAGUUGCUUGUUUGGUCAGUAUGAUUUAGACAUGUAUUGUUUGGUAUGACGGGGCCCUGUCCUUUACGAUAAUAUAUACUCUUAGAGGCUUGUAGAAAGAUGCCAUAUAUACGGAUGCUUGUAUGGCCUUGCCGACCUAUGUUUUGAGUUUACAAAUAAUCAUGUUGGCCUUAUAGGCCCGUAUGUUACAUGUAUAAGUUUUUAUAUCAGGUUGGGUCGUCCUAUAUUGAAUAUUUUCCUAUAUUUAUUCUGGUUAGCCCAUGACGGCCCGUUUGGCCCAUUUGCCAAUGAAAGUAUGAUAAGAAAUAUAUGUUAUGUUGGUACUCGGUUGAGUAAGGUACCGGGUGACCGUUGCGGCCCAUAAGUAUGGGUCGUGACCGGUAAAAAUAAAAUAUUUUUCAGUUUUGACUCAGUAGAAGAUGAUACCAACAAUAACUACCAAGAAGAAUACUUAAAUACUUUAAUACCAAAUGGCCUUCUUCCGUACAUGCUUUUGUCAAGUUCAUUAUUUCUUACGUAUGUUAGUGUCACCAUAUAUAUAAUAGACUAAGUUAAAAUUGAUCUUCUAUUGCAUAUAUGUUUAUGCACGUCAUGCUACUGAAAAUUUAGAUCCGCUAAAUAGCUUAUGUAAUAGUACACAUAUGGUAUAUAGAUUAUUUAACGACAACGUCAUACAUGCAGAACUUAUGAUACUGGUCAAUGUGCUUCUAAGUAUGUGUUUAUCCCCAAAUUCAACUUUUGUCUUCCGAAACUAAAGAAUAUCCUUUUAAAUUUGUGUGAAAAUAAUUUUCAUUAUGUUUAUGUUUUAUAGUUUUAAUAAAUAAAACACAAUGACAAACAUCCUAAAUGUUGAACUAUAUUUACCAUAAUAUGUUUUCUUACACGAAUAACUAUAUGUUGCACUUUCAACAGAGAUAUCAAUAUUAACAAUAAGAGUUUUGGUUGUGGAAUAGUAACCAAAGCAUUAGAAGGCAAUAUACACAAAAAUAUAGCGCAUAUAAAGAAGUGUUUGGCAAGAUACCAUCACGUUAGAUACCUUUAAACUACAAUACAUAAUUAUCUAAUUAACAUGGCUAAACUUUUCCAUUUUCAGAUAUUACUAAUAUCAUAUUAGAAUGGCAGUUGGAAGGAGAAAGACAAUAAACCAACAAAUAAAAGGCAAGCAAAGAAACUGUUCGACUGAAUAUACCUAACAAGUUUGCCGACACUCCUCAAUAUUCAACAGAUGCCAAAAUAUGGGUCCUAAUCAUAAUGCCGACCUUUUUUAUUGCUAUCCAUACUUUAAUAUAGUAUAGUUAUGAAAAAGGUUACUAUCAAGCAAUUCAUGUGGGAGAUGAGCUGGAAUUUCGGUUCAAAGAUACUCAAGAUCUCCAUUUGUGAUUUCAAACUUUUACAUUUUUUUUUUGGGGAGAUAAUAAUAGUUUUCAGUGUAUUGUAUCGAAGCCAUAUGAAGUUAAUUAGCUAGCGAUGUCUUUAAUUCCAACAGAAUGGAUAAUGAAAUAAAUUGCUAUUGAUAUUUUGAUUUUUUGGUUCCUUUUAUUUUCUGCUAUUAAUGAGAUAAUAUAUUUUUAUUUUAUGCUUCUUAUGGGAUCAUAAAUCUACAUAUAACGUGACAUUGGUGGAAGAUUACAAAUUCUUAAAAAGAAAAAUGUUAUGUUGCUCAAUUUUCUUUCUUGAUAGCAGACAAAAUUCAAGAACAAAGACAGAACAAUAUUAUAAAAUGAGAGCAAAAUAUAGCUUUUUUGUGUACAGAAUAUUUCUAUCCCUAUAACGGAUGAUAAUCUUUUUAUUUAUAGCUCUAUUCAGUGAGACAAGAUCCCCAAAUUAAGUUUUUCUUGAAUGAGAAUAAAACUGUCAUUAAUGGAUGCAUAAUGAUUGGUUAUAAAUGCAGAUAUUCUUUGCAACUGCUGCUCAUUGAAUAAUAUUCGAUGACAAUGCUUUGAAUCUUCGUUACUGGCUACUCUAUCUUCGGAAUUCGUUCAACAUCGAUUGCAUGCUUACAUCCGGUGAUGAUUGUUUGCUGACUCAUGUGCCACCUGUAUUUAGUUCUACGUGUCACUUUGUCAUUCAUCCAACUGUCAUUAACCUAUUUUACCCCAUACAGAUACUCCCCUUACUUUUCGGUAACACAACUUAGUGUUACCGGAAAGUAGAUAAGAAUUCUUUUCUUGGCGAAAAAAUUCCUGAACGGUCUCUGACACUUGAAAGGGCACAUGUCUUCUCGCAUUUAAUGACCCAAACAUGUGUUGCUCCAUGAUUCAGCAAAUAUUUUCACUGGUUUUCGAGGUACUCAUGACUAAGAUUUUUGUUAUCUAUAACUUCUCCCCUACUCAUCAUUUUUACUCUUUACUUUCACAACUCCCUCUUCUUCCUUGAUUCUCCUUAGAACCAUUCUGUGACAUUCAACUUUCUUAGUAAAACUUUUCUUCAAACAUAUCUUCAAGCAUUACCAUCCUCGGAAACUCUGGCCUUUUCUUCAAAAGACCCCCAAAGAAAACAAAAACAAAGGAAGUUGAAGCUGAAUCUGAACCUCCCACCCUGAACUCCAUCAUACCUCUUAAACUUAAUACGAAAUCAGACCUUCAAUAACAGAAAGCACCUUCAAAUUCUAAAAGUGAUAGGUUCUGGCCUAUUCGGAGGAACCCUUCUUCCAUUCGUCCUCCUAGUGUCCUUGUCAUGAAGGAGGAAUGCCAUUGGAACAAGGUUGAAAUCCUCACCCCCAAAAAAGGUAGAAAGAGUUACCUUCUCCAAGCCAGGUUUCAUAUAUUUUUACACAUACCCUUUCACUUUGGGCCAUUUAACUUUGAGAAUGGGUGAAGGAACUGACCCAAUAAUCUUAGAGUUAUCCCAUCGAUACCAAGUAUGUUUGGCAUAAGUAGGCCUAUCUGUGUGGCGUACGGUGGUUUGCCACCACCAAUGGUGUUAUGAGACCGAGGAAACCCUAACUCUCGUACAUAUAAUGAACCUCUACUCCAAAAAGAUUUUUCGUGAGGGUAUGCUAAAUCUUAGAAAAUGCGGUGAUCAUGCUCUUCUUACUAGCAUUGACAACGACACUAACCGUGGAUGGAUGGAACAGUUUGUUAUUAUCGCUACCAGGGAUAUCAUCCUAACCACAAUACCAGCUUUUCCCAAAUCAUGAAAUCUUUUUCGUAAGUUUUUCGGGUAUUUGCUUCCUUUCCUUGUAAAAAGAAAUCUUCUUUCUUUGCUAACUUUUUAUUUUCUUUAUUCCAGCCACUCACUAGGAGCUCCAGCGGUUCAAGAUUUGGACCGAUGGGUACAAAAAAUUCUGAAUAUCACUAUACCAGAAUUCUAAAGGUGAAAGGGAAUGACUCCCAAAUACGGGUGGAAAUCCAAAAAUCAUGAUAAAUAAAACUCUUCUUCCUUUAUUUCAACCGUUUAAUACAUUCUGCAAACAAUUUAACUACCUUAUAUUGCCAAACAGGACUUCCGAACGGAUCCAUUGUGUGCCCCGACAUCGAAGCUCUUGAUGACCCAAUGGAAGCUCAACGAGUAUUUUAGAGUGCCCUUAACCAGAGGAGGGCUCGUGAAUGUACUCGUGCCUCUACUAAAGGUGCCUCCUCCCGAAGUCUCUAGUCAAAAAAUAAGCAACCAAAAAGGAAACGUAUCUCCACGGUUGGGACUCAGGAGAAGAGAAUAAUAAAACACCAACCGGACCAACCACAAUGGUCCUUGAUGAUGAAGAAGAGGUUGAUGGUGAAGAGGCCCCCUUUCAAAAAAGAAAAAGAUCUUCAUCAAUUCAACCGGAUGCUUAGCCGGGGGAGUUUCAAACUCUACCUCCAAAGGAAGUUCAAGAACUCUGGGAGGGGGAGGGGGUGAAAUAGCAAUAUCCGAAAAUGCUACAUCUCAUUUUUGGAUUCCCACAAUUGCUUCUGCUUAAAGGAUUUGAAUUCCUGACCUUCCUCCAUUGUCAACUUUUGAGCCGAUAAUAGCUUCUUCUCCAUCCACACCAACUACUUCUUCUCCACUGACCCCAGCUGAACAAGUAGGGAAUGCCCCUUCUCCACAGUCUCCCAACCAAGAAAAUUUGAGAAAUACUUAUUUGGUACCCACUCAAGACCCUCAUGGAAAACAAAGUGCCAUUCUUUCGAUUUCGAAGGAGUGCCAUAUACUUUCCAAGACGGUGGAUCUCGCCAAUUACCUGAAGUCGUUGGGCUCAGAGAAAGAUUGGAGAAAGUAGGACACUCUUUUUGUGAAGUGUCUGAUAAACAAUAACAUGCAUUGUUCGGUGCAGGUAGCAAUCUAACUUCCUCCUAUCUUCUUUUAAUUUGCACUUCGCAUUAAUUACUUUAGGUCUAACCUUUUUCAUGUCAACCUUAUUGCUUCCAAGGGCCUGCAAAGGUUGAUUUUGGACAAGCAAGAGAUUUCUUCAGAACGAGAUCAACUUUUGGUUGAAGGAAUUAGCUUACCGGGCGCCUCUCAGUGCUGGAGGCAAAAAUUGCUCAAAUAGAUGACCUCAAGGCCCGAUUCCAGCAGUCCAAACAAGAUAGAGUGGCUCACAGCUUGGAAUCCGCCCAGCUACAUGAAAACCUUACAGACCCAAAGCCUAAAUGUGUUGAACUUCAUGAUAUUGUGACUGUUGCUGCCGAGCGCGAGUCUGUCUUUAUGGAACAAGUUAAUAACUUAGAGGCUAUCUUACGCUCCAAAAUUGAGGAGGCCAAUGCUGCCAAGGAGAAUAGGGCGAGAAUGGAGGAAAGAUUCAAAAGGACCAUGGAGCAGAAUCAACUCCAUUCAUUAACCUAUGUCGAGCUGGACUCCAAAAUCAACAUUAUUAAAGCUGAAAAUGAAAAUCUCUAAUCCAAGAUUGAAAAAUUCCGAGCUAAACUCUAAGACCAAGAGGAUCCACUCGUCUUCGAGAAAACCUACACCAUUUAUUAUACGAAGAGGAAGACCUUGGAGGAUGCUAAAGAUGGAAUUUCUAACAUUGAUGAAUAUAGUGCUAAAGCACAGGAGCUGGAUACAACUACUCACAAGAAUCUCCCUACUCGGCCCAUUACAUCUGAUUCUUUGAAUACUAACUCCGAGUAAUCGGGAACCGAGGGAGAGACUGAAAAAGAUGAAGGCCUCUAAUCGGAAGUGGAACAACCUUCUCCUAAUAAAGAAAACGAAGGCUUUUCUCUCCCUUUGGGUUCUGGCAGCAAGAACUGAUGUAGUUUUCAUUACUUCUUGUAAUUGUGACAAAACUUUCCACUAGUUUGGCAAUUUAUUUAAUAAAAGAAACCAUUUACUUAAGUAUUGUGCAAGAAAAUAUUCUUUUACAUUAACUGACAAAGUUUCAGGAAUCUUUUCACAUCCGAUAGCUUUUGAUUCCAGGCAUAAACACUUCCAGAAUCUACCUUUUACUAUGAGGGUUUCAUAAGAGAGGGCCCUCGUAUUUACGAUGACAAUGUCUCAUGUUCAUUCCGGCACAACCAUUUAAAGUUUUUGUUAACACUCAAAUGAUAAAAUAAAUUAACUUAUCAUUCAGGAAAGAAUAAUAUAAAAAUAAAAGGACUUUGAUUUAUUCCCUCUAUCUUUAAAAGUAUAUUUACAUAAACAUUCAUUUGCUUAAGUAAAUAAAGGUUCCAAUACAUGUGGCUAACUUGUACAACUUAUUUCUGUGAGGCUGAUCAUGUAGUCACCGGCCCUGAUAAGAUAUUGAUCCUGGUUCUACUGGUCCCUGUCUUUAUAACACUUUUACUGCUUUGAUAUGUAUUAUUCCCACCAAUGUUCAGAUUCUAAGUGUGAGAAUUAGAACACUGAGGUCUUGCAUUCGUCGAUGACAUAUCGUAGUAUCUUUACAUUAUUGCCUUAUUAAUAGAAAUAACUUGGGGAUGGUUAAAUAAUCUACUUCCAGAUGUUAACAAGCCAAAGAUUACUUAACCAUCCACAAGUUGUUUGCCUCACGAGUUGAUCUACAUAAAACUAUUUCUGGAAGUCCCUCAUUUGUCGACGACCCUUCCUUCAUAGUAUGCUUUAUAUUGUUGCCUCAUUAAAAACCUUGCUAGAAAAAUAUAAUUGGGAUAAAAACUGGUCGAAGAGAAAAGGAGUGUAGAGCAUACUUUUAGUACCAGCAAGGAUCUUUAGCAAUAUUACCUUUUGAGGUGGGUCAUAUUCCAAUUGCUUGGCAAUUUGACUCCAUCUUGAUCUUCCAAUUCAUACGAACAUUUACCAGUUAUAGCUGAAAUCUGAUAAGUUCUUUCCCAUGUUGGUCCCAGCUUCCCAACAUUAACGUUUCAAGUACUUUGAGUGACUUUUCUUAGGACCAAAUCCCCAACUUUGAAAUAUCAUAGAUUCUCUCUGCGGUUAAAAUACAUUUGCAUCAUUUGCUUUUGUGCCAUUAUCCUUACAUACGCCAGAUCCCCAUGCUCUUCAAGCAAAUCUAAUUUAUCCAGCAAUGAUUCAUUGUUUGCUUUUUCUUUUGCUCGGAAAAACCCUAUGUUCAGUUCCCCCACUUCCAUCGGUAUCAAAGACUUUUAAUUGUAUACAAGUGAAAAGGGUGUUUUAUACGUGCUCGACUUUGUCGUGGUCUGGUAUGCCCAUAACAUACCCGGUAGCUCAUCUGGAAACUUGACUUUAGCAUCUUCUAACUUCUUUUAAGGUUUGAAUAAUUACCUUGUUAGUCGACUCCACCUGUCCAUUAGCACUCGAGUGGUAUGGUAAAGAUGUAACUCGUUUGAUCUUCAAUCCUUCCAAAAACUUUGUCAGUUUGGAAACUAUGAAUUGUGGUCCAUUGUCACAAGUUAUUUCUAUUGGUUUUCCGAAUUGGUAAAUUAUGGUCCUAUAUAAAAUUGACCAUCUCUCAUUAUUCGAUCUUUUGGUAAGCACAUGCUUCAACUUAUUUAGUAAAAUAAUAAUUUAAAACCAAAAGAAAUUUUACCUUACCAGGUUCUAGUGGCAAGGGACCCACUAUGUCCAUCCCCCAUUUCAUAAAUGGCCACGGUGACACCACCGAAUGCAAAAGUUCUACAUAUCAAUGCACUAACUGUGCAUGACGCUGACAUUUAUCACACUUUUGUAGAAUUAUCUUUGCAUCUUGCUACAUCCGGGGUCAAUAGUAGCCAGCUCUGACUAACUUGAGAAUUAAUUAGUCUACACCAGAAUGGUUCCGGAAUACUCCUUCAUGAACUUCCAUCAUCACAUAGUCAGCCUCCGAGGCCCCUAGACACAAAUCUAGUGCCCCUUGGAACGAUCUCAUGUAUAACUGUCAAUCAAAAAGAUAGUAACGAGUCACCUUGGUCCGUAGUGCCAAGGAUUCUUUUGGGUCUUCUAGAAAUUUGCCAUGUCUUAGAUAUUCAAUGAACUCGUUCCUCCGGUCCCAUAUUAAGUUGGUUGAAUUAAUUUCACAGUAGCUGUCCACGCCCAACACCGAAUAUAGUAAUUGAACGAAUAUACCAGAAUCAGAUCCUUCCAUCUCUGUGGAUGAACCCAAAUUGGCCAAUGCGUCUGCCUUCAAAUUUUCCUCCCUUGGAAUGUGGACGAUUGACCACUCUGUGAAUCGUGUAAGUAAUGGUUGAACCUUGUUCAAGUUCUGUUGCAUGCGCUACUCCUUGGUGUCGAAAAUUCUAUACACUUGGUUUACCACCAACUGGAAUCGCAUUUUAUCUCGAUGACCUUGGAACCUAGUCCCCGAGCUAGUUCAAGUUCUGCAACCAAAGCCUCGUACUCGGCUUUAUUGUUAGUUAAUGGUAAAAUUCUAUUGGCCUUCCUUAGGGUUUCCCCCAAAUGAGUGAUUAAAAUUACACCAAAACCGGACCCUUUUACGUUGGAGGCUCCAUUUGUAAACAAGAUCAGACUCUCUAUACCAUUCCCGAUACCAACAAUGCUUCUUUAGCAGUAAAGGCAUUAAUUCCGAACUGAAAUCAGUCACGAAGUCGGCCUAAACUUGUUACUUAAUUGCAGUCUUGGGCUUGUAUUCAAUAUAGAAUUCACUAACUUCGACCACCUACUUAGCCAAAUGACCUGACAACUCAGGCUUAUGAAGGACAUUCCUUAACGAAAAGGUUGUCACAAUGGCUAUUAGAUGACAUUAAAAAUAUGGUCUAAGCUUCUAAGAGGCAACUACGAGAGCUAAGGCCAGCUUUUCAAGGUGCGGAUAACGUGUAUCCGCUCCUGAUAAUAUUUUACUAAUAUAAUAAAUGGGAAAUUGCAUACCAUCUUCUUCCCGGACCAAAACGGCACUUACCACUACUUUUGAGACCGCUAGAUAAAUCAAUAGUUGCUCACCUUCUCCUAAUUUCUACAACAACGGAGGGCUAGAUAGGUACCUUUUUAGGUCUUUAAGUGCAUAUUGGUAUUCCGGAGUCCAUACGAUGUCAUUCUUUUUUUUCAAAAGCAAAAAAAAAAUGAUGGAACUUUUACGAAGACCUCGAGAUGAACCUUCUUAGAGAUACCAAUCUACCGGUCAACAUCUUUAUUCCUUCACGCCUGUCAGCUGGUCUGGGAUAUUCUCGAUGGAUUUGAUUUUAUUGGGGUUUACCUUAAUUCCUCUUUGAGAGACCAAAAACCCCAGGAACUUAUCGGAACCCACUCCGAAGGCAUAUUUCUUCAGGUUGAGAUUCAUGUUGUACUUUUUCAGAAUGUCAAACGUCCCUUAGAGAUGUUCCAGUUGAUCUCCUGCAUAAAGAGACUUAACUAGCAUGUCGUCGAUAUAAGCUUCCAUCGUCUUACCUAUCUAUUUUUUAAAUAUCUUAUUAGCGAGCCUCUAAUAAGUGGCUCCCGUAUUUUUAAUCCCACAAGGCAUCACAUUAUAGCAAUAUGUGGUAAAGUUUGUGAUGAAAGAAUUCUUCUUUUAAUUUUCUGGGUCCAUCGUAAUUUGAUAAUACCCGAAAUAAGCAUCAAGAAAACUCAUCAACUCGUGCCUGGCUGCAGCAUUGAUCAUUUGAUCAAUGUUCGGCAAUAGGAAAAAGUCUUUGGGGCACACUUUAUUUAAAUUCUUAUCAUCUACACACAUCCUAAAUUUUCUAUUCUUUUUAGGCACUACUACGUUAGCUAUCCACUUCGAGUACUUUACCUCUCGAAUUGAACUGAUGUUAAGUAAUCGGGUUACCUCUUCCUUAACAAACCUGUUUUUGACCUUUGCUAUCAAUUGUUUCUUCUGCCUUACCGGGGGGAAGUUUGGAUCCAGACUAAGUUUGGAGACCUCCAAAUCCAAUGGAAAAUUUGUCAUAUCUGAAUGCAACCAUGAAAAGCAAUCAACGUUAGAUUUAAAAAAAUCUAUAAGUUUCAACCUGAGUUCGGGACUCAACCCCGUUCCUAAAUGAAAUUUUCUUUCCAGAAAUUCUUCAAACAAAGCCACUUGUUUGAGCUCUUCUGCGGUUAACUUGGUUGCAUCCAUCUUUUCUGGUACCUGAAAAGACCUUGGUGCCUGAUAUAAUUCUGAUGACUUCUCGUUUUUAUCAUCUACAAUUGGGAUGGGAGAAGGCAUUGGUUCCUGUAGUUGCUAUUUGCUGGUUUCUUUGCCCUUGCUGCUGGAAAUGGUUACUGUGUUCAUCUCCCUUACAGCAGAUUGAUCUCCUCUGAUCUGCUUGAUCCCUUCUAGUGUUGGAAACUUUAACAGUUAAUGGUAUGUGAAGGUACGACCUUCAUUUUGAUGUAUCCACGGUCUUCCAAAGAUUAUAUUAUAGACCAUGUCGCCAUUUACCACUUCAAACAGGGUGGUCUUUGCUACACCUUCAGCAUGUGUGGGCAGAAAAAUUUCUCCUCGGGUUGUUAUACUUGUUAUGUUGAAGCCAGCUAAAAGCUUUGUUGAUGGAAUGAUAUUCCCAGUUAACUUUGCUUCUCUCCAUUGUAUGAUAUUGGUUGAACUUCCUGGAUCAACCAAAAUACGCUUAAUACUAAAAUCUAAAAUAUUAAAAGAAAUUACCAAAGCAUCAUUUUGCGGUAGGAUAAGUCCAUCGGCAUCUUCCAUCGUGAAGGUGAUGUCAUCUUUUGAGACUUCUCGGAUCCUCUUGCCAUGAGUCACUGAUAUAUUCGUCUUAUUUGCUGGCAAAAAUGUCACCCCAUUUACUUUGUCUCCUCUGAAGAUCAUGUUGAUUGUCAUUCGAGGUGACCCUUCUGCUGGUUUUAAUGGUUAUGUAAUAUCCCUAUUUCUCUUAGAGUUGUUUUUGGUGCGAUCGCUUAACAAUUCCCCGAGGUGACCAUUCUUUAACAAUAUUUCCACCUCUUCAUGAAGAUGUCGGCAGUCCCCAGUCCUAUUAUCGUGAGUCCCAUAGAAUUCACACCAUAGAUUAGGAUCCCUUUGGCUAGGAUCCGAUCAGAUCGAUUUUGGGAACCUAAAUUCUUUAAUAUUUCUCAUGGGCGACACUAGUUCCACUAGGGUGAUACUAAAAUUGUAAUUAAACAACCGGGGAUACGCUGAAUCUUAGGAUCAUGGCACCUUUUUCUCCUACAACAAUCUGUUACUCCGGCCAUGAUCCAUCCUUCUAUCGCAAAUAAACCUAUUCGAUGACUGGAAUCCUUUAUUAUCGUGCCCUUCGGCCUUCUCAUAAGGCUGAAAAUGACUUCUAGAGUGUAUUCGAUCUAUAUCAAAAUCAUUUUUAAACUUAUCUUGAUUUCAAUCACGAUUCCGUCCUUUGGAAGACACCGUGGAACCAAGUCGACCAUCUUCACUUCUGAUCUUUGACUCAUAGAGAUAUUAAACAUCUGCCCAUAUGGUUGCCUGAAUUUCGAGCAAGCUCUCCUGCAAUUUUUGUGAGUUAUCGGAGCUUAAUAGGUUGAGACCCUUUGUAAAUGCCUCCGUUGCCCACUCAUCUUGAACCGCAGAUAACAACAUCAUUUCUUUCCGGAACCAGAUCACAAACUCUCUUAACAAUUUAGCUUUUCUUUAAGAUAUCAUGAAUAUAUCCACCUUCCUUGCUUGGACCUUUCUUGCUCCAGCAUUAUCUUUGAUAAACGAAUCUACAAGCAUUUCAAAAGGGUCAAUAGAAUGUUUUGAUAAGAGGGAAUACCAGGCUAAGUCACCAUUCGUAAGGGUUUCACCAAACUUCUUCAACAAAACCGAUUCGAUGUAAUGCUGGGCCAAGUUGUUUUCCUUUACUGUCGUAGUGUAGGUCAUAUCAUGAUGUGCUCCUGUGGAUCCGAAGUCACAUCAUAUUUUGGUAUAUCCAACAUCUUAAACCUCUUUGGGAUUAACUUCGAUGCAGCACAUAGUUUAAACAGCAACUACAUAUACUUCUUUAAAUCUGAUCCUUUUAACAUCGGCGGCACCCCCGUGAUAUGAUCCAUCAGAGCGAAAUUCCUUUGCAUUCUAAUCCAUUCAUUCAUUCAUUUCUCUCAUUAAUCUUAUGAGCUCGGUUUUGAAAGGGUUAUUUAAAUUGUUGUUCGCAAAUUCACUACCGGUACCUCUGGCCUCGUCGAAAUUGACCUCCUCUCUUGGUGUGUCGUUAUCAGUUCCUUGAGUCGUUUGCUUUACGAGAAUGCUGGGAGGAAUCGGGGCCCUUCCAUUAGCAUUAUUAGAAGCUCCCCAUACUACAUGUUUCAAUUUUGUCAUCACCCAAUCUUGCCUUGAGAGGCGAUCCAUAAUUGCCUUUUUCUAUUCCCUCAAGAUUUUGACUAUUUCAACAACGUGCUCAUCCUUUGCAUCAUCAAGAGUUGGGCCCCGCACAUGUCGAGGAUACAGACCUUCGCGAACUAGGUUGUUUCAUCCCCUUCGUUGUGGGGCUCACUGAUUGAAUCAUCACGCGUGAACACAUCUUCUUGUUGACCGUGUACUCCAACAUUUUAAACAAUAUUGACAUCAUUAGCUGUCAUACCUUAUCUUUCUUUUUCUAAGGAAGGAAUCAAAAUUUGUCAGUAAUAGAUAAAUAGAUCAAAGCAAUUACACAAUUGUCAAUGCCCCACAGUGGACGCCAAACUGUUUACCCAUAAAAUGAUAUAGUUAGAUUUGUAACGUAGUUUAUAGACAAAUAAAUCGAUUUGGUCCUAAAGUACGAAAACAAUAAUAACCGAAACAAGAAUACGAAAUAAAACUAAUGGAAACACAAGCCCGAGUAUGAAUUUAGCCUUUCCAAUGGCAAAAAGAGAACAUUAUUCAAGAACAAAGACUGAGAACAAUAUUAUAAAAUGGGAGCAGAAUAUAGCUUUUUUGUGUACAAAAUAUUUCCACCCCUACAAUGGAUGCUAAUCCUCCUACUUACAGCUCUGUUCUGGGAGACAAGAUCCUCAAAUCAAGUUCCUCUUGAAUGAGAAUAAAACCGUCAUUGAUGGCUGCAUAAUUGUUGGCUAUAAAUGCAUAUAUUCUUUGUAACAGUUGCUCGUUGAAUGUUAUCUAAUGAAAAUGCUUUGAAUCUUCAUUAUUAAUUGGCUACUCCGUCUUCGAGAUUCAUUCAGUAUCGAUUGCAUGAUUACAUCUGGUGCCAGCUGUUUGCUGACUCACGUCCCAUCUAUCUUUUGUUCCAUGCGUCACUUCGUCAUUCGCCCAACUAUCAUUAACCGAUUUUGCCCCAUACAGGUGUAGCUUUGAUUAUCGACACACAAGUUGAGGCUGACUCCAGUAUAUUGAGGCCAAAGGCACAGACAUAUAUAGGACUAGGACUAAACCGUGUAUUUCCGAGAAAAACUUAUAUACAUACGAUACCUAAUUCAAAACAUAGGAAAAUGGUAAUUUGUUUAGUCUUUUUCCCGUUCUUUUCCCUUUUUGAAUGAUUUUAGAAGUUUAAUUGUAUUCUAAAGACUAAACAUCAAUCCUCCCACGAUACUUGAGUUUUGAAGGUUACGUGGGUGGCAUACAUAAGUUCGUUGCUCAUUCUUCAAUUGUCAUUAUCUUUUUUUGUUGUUUCUAUCGUCACUUCCUUUUCUUUGUUGCAUUAUAGUGUUUGAUCUAAUUCUUAAUGUUAGCUAGAAAAAAUGGACAGCAAUGAGGUGUUAUAUAUAUNNNNNNNNNNNNNNNNNNNNNNNNUAUAUUAGUUAGUUAAAGCGGUUAAUGAAAAAAAAAGUUUGAUAUCACUAAACAACUCAAUAAAUGAAUAUGCAUGCGAGUCAUCUAUCAUAUCCGUAUAACAAUUAAGCAUUGGUUGAUUUUCGCCACUUGGAAUUAAAAAUUUACGUAACAAACUUCCUUCAUGCAAAGAGGUGUGAACAUUGGAUUAGAACUCGUACACACUGGACAAACAAAUUAGUCCCCACAUCAACUAACUCAAGUUCCAAACUCAUAGGCUAGCUAGUUAUAACCAACACUUAUAAAUACCACUCAAUAUUAACAAGAGAAAACAUCCCAACAGCACCCAAGUAUCUUGUACUACUACUUUUUCAAAACUCAUCUGCCAUCACUUUUAUUACCAAAAUGGCUGAAGAGAAGAAGCACCACUUCGGUCUCUUCCACCACAAGGACAAGGAGGAAGACAAAACUACCUAUGGAGAAACUCCAUAUGGUGGUGAUACUGAAAAAACUACCUAUGGAGAGAAUACAUAUGAAGAGAAAACUAGUUAUGGUGGGGGAGAUAACUAUGGGGAUAACAAAUAUGGUGAGAAAACUGGCUAUGGAGAAAGUGGAUAUGGAGAGAAAACUAGUUAUGGUGAGGGAGGUAACUAUGGAGAUAGUGGCUAUGAAAAUAAGACUAGCUAUGGAGAUAGUGGCUAUGAAAAUAAGACUAGUUAUGGAGAUAGCGGCUAUGAAAACAAGACUGGCUAUGGAGAUAUUCCAUCUGAUACUACCUAUGGAGAGAAAACUAAUUAUGGUGAAGGAGAUACCUAUGGAAAAGGAGCUGCCUACUCAUCUGAGACCACUAAUUUUGAAGAGACUACUGAUGAAGGCAAAACUGGUGAGGAUUAUGAGAAAGAGAAAAAGCACCACAAGCAUCUUGAACACGUGGGAGGGCUUGGGGCUGCUGCUGCUGGUGCCUUUGCCUUGGUAAUUUUUCACACAAUGUUUUAUGUUACAGUUUUAACUUUUAUAUCCUUGUGGUCCAGUCCUUCCCCGGACCCCGCGCAUAACGGAAACUCAGUGCAUCGGACUGCCUUUAUUGUCGUAUCAGUAAAGUUACAAAAUUAUGUUAAUUAAAGUCAUUGAACUUUACCUAUUGUAUCAGCUAAGUCACAAAAUUAUUUGUUGUCUCAUAAAAGUCAUUGACAAUUUGUUAGUUGUCUAGAAAAUACAAUUCACUAGAAAGUCAAAUUUUUUAAUAAAAAUUGAUAUUAGUAGCCAAGAGAAUAAGAGAAACUACUACUCUUUCCGUCUCACUUCAUGUGAAGGUGUUUGACUGGACAUGAAAUUUAAGAAAUAAAGAAAAAAAUUUGAAACUUGUGGUUUAAAAUAAUUUAUAGAAAUUUAUUUGGCUAAAAAUUAUCUCAUUAAGGGUAAAAGAAAAAAUUUAAAAUUAAGUUGUUACUAAAUAUAGAAAUGUGUCAUUUUUUUAUGAGUGAGUAAGAAGAAAAGAGUGUCACAUCAAAUUGAUUAAAAUAGACUCAUAGUCAAAUAUUAUGGGUCAAUUUGAAGAAAAUUUUGAUUUUUACUCUAGAUAUUGUAAAAAGAAUUUACACUAUCAAUCAUUCAUCUAGAAAGAUUAAUAGAGUUGUUAACUAUUCCUUUUUGUUUCUUCCAUAUUUUGGUAUGAAAAUUUCAGCAUGAGAAGCACAAGGCAGAGAAAGAUCCAGAACAUGCACACAAACACAAGAUAGAAGAAGAAAUAGCAGCAGCAGCUGCAGUUGGGGCAGGUGGAUUUGCAUUUCAUGAGCACCAUGAAAAGAAGGAAGCCAAGGAAGAAGAAGGGGAAGUUGAGGGAGAGAAGAAACAUCAUUUCUUCUAAUUUUCUCAUAAUAUAUAUUUACCUCUCUUUAAUUUGUUUUCUUCUAAAAUAUAAGUUAUGAGCUUCGUGUGCUUGCUCUAUCCUCUAAUACUGAGCACCUAAAUAAUCCGUGUGUGUGUGUGAGUCUUCCCUUUGAUGUAAGGGUUUUACUUCUAUAUCUUGGUGGGGUUUAAUUAUGUCAUGCACAUGUUGUUCACUGUGCAAGUGUGAAUAAUACUAUACCUUUUAAUGCAAUAUUUUUGUCUUAAUAAUAUGAUACAGAAAAAAGACUCAUGUCUUUACUCUUUCCUUUGGGGCAAAUAAAAAGCGCUUUUCUCUUGUGCCAAUUAUCCCGUUAAAAUAUGUGAGUUUAACUUCAGAAAUGAAUUAUCAAAUAACAGAAGGAUAAUUUGCUAAAGAUAACACAAGCAACUUAAAAUAGGUCAUCAAUAUAUAUAUAUAUAUAUAUAUAUAUAUACACACACUACUNNNNNNNNNNNNNNNNNNNNNNNNNNNNNNNNNNNNNNNNNNNNNNNNNNNNNNNNNNNNNNNNNNNNNNNNNNNNNNNNNNNNNNNNNNNNNNNNNNNNNNNNNNNNNNNNNNNNNNNNNNNNNNNNNNNNNNNNNNNNNNNNNNNNNNNNNNNNNNNNNNNNNNNNNNNNNNNNNNNNNNNNNNNNNNNNNNNNNNNNNNNNNNNNNNNNNNNNNNNNNNNNNNNNNNNNNNNNNNNNNNNNNNNNNNNNNNNNNNNNNNNNNNNNNNNNNNNNNNNNNNNNNNNNNNNNNNNNNNNNNNNNNNNNNNNNNNNNNNNNNNNNNNNNNNNNNNNNNNNNNNNNNNNNNNNNNNNNNNNNNNNNNNNNNNNNNNNNNNNNNNNNNNNNNNNNNNNNNNNNNNNNNNNNNNNNNNNNNNNNNNNNNNNNNNNNNNNNNNNNNNNNNNNNNNNNNNNNNNNNNNNNNNNNNNNNNNNNNNNNNNNNNNNNNNNNNNNNNNNNNNNNNNNNNNNNNNNNNNNNNNNNNNNNNNNNNNNNNNNNNNNNNNNNNNNNNNNNNNNNNNNNNNNNNNNNNNNNNNNNNNNNNNNNNNNNNNNNNNNNNNNNNNNNNNNNNNNNNNNNNNNNNNNNNNNNNNNNNNNNNNNNNNNNNNNNNNNNNNNNNNNNNNNNNNNNNNNNNNNNNNNNNNNNNNNNNNNNNNNNNNNNNNNNNNNNNNNNNNNNNNNNNNNNNNNNNNNNNNNNNNNNNNNNNNNNNNNNNNNNNNNNNNNNNNNNNNNNNNNNNNNNNNNNNNNNNNNNNNNNNNNNNNNNNNNNNNNNNNNNNNNNNNNNNNNNNNNNNNNNNNNNNNNNNNNNNNNNNNNNNNNNNNNNNNNNNNNNNNNNNNNNNNNNNNNNNNNNNNNNNNNNNNNNNNNNNNNNNNNNNNNNNNNNNNNNNNNNNNNNNNNNNNNNNNNNNNNNNNNNNNNNNNNNNNNNNNNNNNNNNNNNNNNNNNNNNNNNNNNNNNNNNNNNNNNNNNNNNNNNNNNNNNNNNNNNNNNNNNNNNNNNNNNNNNNNNNNNNNNNNNNNNNNNNNNNNNNNNNNNNNNNNNNNNNNNNNNNNNNNNNNNNNNNNNNNNNNNNNNNNNNNNNNNNNNNNNNNNNNNNNNNNNNNNNNNNNNNNNNNNNNNNNNNNNNNNNNNNNNNNNNNNNNNNNNNNNNNNNNNNNNNNNNNNNNNNNNNNNNNNNNNNNNNNNNNNNNNNNNNNNNNNNNNNNNNNNNNNNNNNNNNNNNNNNNNNNNNNNNNNNNNNNNNNNNNNNNNNNNNNGUACUGAACACCUUAUAUACAGAACAGAUUUUGGUUGAAUCUAAAAGUGCAUCCUCUAACCUUCAAAUCUUGAAUCCGUAUGACUUGAGCACAACUAAUAAUUAUGGUCCUACUACAACUAUUCAUAGAAGUCAGUAAUUUAGAAAAAACUUAUAGUCGUGUGUCAAUAAUUAAUGUUUACAAAAUGCGCUACUCCUUGUUCUCUUAACCAAGGAGGUUUCGUUAUUAUAGAGUUUGAAUUUGAAGAGUACACCAUUGUUAAUGACUUUUGAUAAAUGACUAAAAAUGCACAAUUUUGAGUAUAGUUUCAUAUCAUUUUGUGUGAGAAUAGGGAGAUCAAAUGCUUACAAACGUGAAUAUGUUCAUUACGUGUUUAUUGUGUGUAUGAAUGAAUUUGGAUAGAAGUUGGCAAGAAUUAAUUAGAUUAUUUGAUGCAAAAAGAAGUAGAGAUGCAAGAAGUGGGAGCGUGCCACAAUUGGUGCAUUGCAUGAAAGAUAUGUGCGAAAUGACCUAAGAAUUGAAUCAAAACCAGUGUACGACAUUUUGGCACCAUCCCCCAGUACGCGAAAGAAACAAAGAAGAAAAAAAAGUUAGGAGCGUGCCUAGGGGUAACGCGUUGCACCAACCCCCAGGACCCGACUCAACCUUUUCUUUUCGAAUUAAGAGAGAUCAAGGACACCCCACAUCAACCGUAUUCGGUUUAAAUACAAUUUGAAGCCGUUUUUGAAGGGCCACACAAUAUUUUGGGAGGCAAGAACACGCAAGAGCAAGGCGGAGAAUUCUUCUACGAGUUUUUCACUUUCUACUUCAUAUUUCUAUUGUUGGUUAUGACUUUUUAUAUUGUAAUCUUAUAUAAUAUUAUGAGUAGCUAAACCCGUCAUCUAAGGCUUGAUUGAACCAAUUGUUUGAUGAAUUCUUAACUGCGUAUUGGUAUAAUUGAGCCAUUUUACUCUCUAAUUAUUAAAUUAUAUGCUUCUUGUUGUUAAUUGAAGGGCCACUAGUUAAAUGUGUCUAGUUAUCUUGUGUUACUUGAGAGAGAACACUUGAUUAGAUUGUUGUUGAACAACGCCACUUUCGAGUAAGUUAAGAGAUUAAUUACUAAGAUUUAAAAGUGAGAUUAAAGAUAAUGAAGAUUUGGUGUGAUCAUUAUGAGCUGUACGAAUUAUCAACUAGAGUAGUUCGAGAAAACACUUCUAUUAAAUUAUAACUAACGUGUUAGGAACUAAUCCGACAAUUGGGAAAAUCAUAAACCCUAGACCUUUUUAUCUUUGAUUUAAUCUUAUUCUCGCUUGUUUAUAAUUUUUAUUGCCAUUUUUUCUUAGUUAAGUAAAUUUUGUUAAUCAUAAAUCAAGUCUUGAACUCUAAAAGUUGACUGAGCAUAUUAUUAGUGAUACUGAAAAGUUAUAGCAAAUAGAUUAGUUCUCUGUAGGAUUCGACUCCGGACUCUUGAACCAGAUUAUUUUUAAGCGACCGCUUAGUCUUUUUUAUAAGGCAUAGUUGGGCGUGAUUAAAUAUUAGCAUCGUUGAUGGGGAACUAAUGGUGUUAUUCAUUACAACUUGAAACAAUUGCUAGUAUUUUUAGUUUAGAUCAAUUUUUCGUGGUGCUAAAAAUAUUUCUAUUGAAAUUAUCACGUUUGAAUUAUUUUAUGCCUAAGGUGCAUGCCUAGAUGCUCCUUGAGAACUUGUGAACUAUUUGAAGGUCUCUCAGAUCCGAGAAAGCAUCAAGGACAUUGAAUCAAGCUAACAAGAAGGGCAAAGAAAAACUAAAACAAAACGAACAAAUCAAAAUAGAAACGAUUGACAUCAAGAAAUACAACAGGAACAAUAGAAAUAACAAAGUUGACCCAAACAUCAGAGUGGUAGCACCCCUUGUGCCGGAGGCUAAUCUAUAUGAUUGGGCGCAACCAACCGCUGAUAAUUUGGUAAAUGCAAUUGCAAUACCUCAGAUACAGGCAAAAACUUUUCAAAUUACAAACAACAUGCUGCAUUUGCUACAGAACAAGAGGUUGUUCUCCGGGUCUUACAUCGAAGACCCACAACAACAUCUGAAGAAUUUUCUAUUAAUUUGUGUCACCCAUAGACAACCGAAUGUGACACCCGAAGCAAUUAGAUUGUUACUAUUUCCAUUCUCAGUGAUUGGGGAGGCUCACACAUGGCUAAAUCACUCCCAACAAACUCCAUUGCUACUUAGGAUGAACUAGUCAAGCAGUUAUUAAACAAAUUUUAUCCAGCAAAUAAGACUGCAAAGCAAAUUGAUGAGAUAUUGCAGUUCAGGCAACAACCAACUGAAACUUUGAAAGAAACCUGGGAAAGGUUCAAGGGUAUAUUGGUGAAGUGUCCCCACCAUGGCAUCCCGGAUCAGAUGCUAGGAUAGAAAUUCUAUAUGUGUUUUGCUGACCGUCUAAAGGCUAAUUUAGAUGUUUCAGUCGAGAGUAUAUUGUUGAGAAAAUCAUUCAGAGAGUGUAAUUUUCUUCUUGACAAGAUGGCUCAAAAUUCAGGCUGGAUGAUGGGAGAUACAACAGUUACUACAAUAGUGCAUUCUCUUGCUCUUAACCCAAAUAAUACAAAUGCAAAAAACACAGCCACUCUAAUGACAUAUGAGUUUGUUGACAAAGAAAAUUGACGAGACGGGCACAAAACAGGUUCACAUUGUUGACACAAAAAUGGAGGCCUAUGCACUCCUUGCAUCUGUCAGCCGUAUGUUUGCUCAUGGAGUACAGAAACUAAUAACCAGGGAUUCAAAGAAUACAUGAAUUACAUAAAUAAUUUUGGGGAUCAAAGACAAGGUGGACAACAAUGGGGACAUCAGAAUCAGUAGUACAGCCAUCCCAGCCCAGCAACAAUACAAUAACAAUCCUAGGGGAGCAUGACCACAUGUCCAAGUUGUGCCUAUCAAAGGCAACCUGGUUACAAUCAACAACACCAACAAAAUUUUGCUUACCAAUAACCUCAUCAGCAGCAGAUGACCACACAAGAAGACAACAAUAUGAUAGAAAUCAAGGGCAUGCUGCAACAACUCAUUGAGACUAAUGGAAAGAAGCAAGAAAAGUUAGCCGUACAUGAAUCGGCUAUUAAAUGCAUUGAAACUUAGUUAGUCCAGUUGUCCAUGGAUUUGAACAAUCUCCUACAAAGAACAUUGCCCGUCGAUACAAACAUCAAUCCAAAAGAAUAGAACCUGAACCGACUAAUGGUAGUGAGUCUCAGGAAUGAAAGGUAUUUGGACAAAGAGCAAGAAUUUUCUCAAUCUAAUAGAGAAAGAACGCCACCUAUUCCAAUGCCACUCGAGGUAGAUGAAUUGAUAGAGCUCACAGAGGUUGUAAUUGAACAAGCACAAGUUGACAAGGGUAACGAGAAAGAAACUUAAUAAUUCUCGAAGAUGGUACUAAAAAGGACUUCUUAUCAGGAAAGAACAUAGAUCAGUGGACAAAAGCAACCUCCGACACUAUUCCCUCAAAGGUUGGCAAAGCAAAAAAAAGAUGAUCAAUACAUAAAAUCCAUGGAAAUGCUAAGUCAAAUUCAAUUGAAUAUUCCUCAGAUAGAAGUUUUGAGGGAAAUGUCAGGCUACGCUAAAAGGAUGAAAGAUUUGAUGUCUCGAAAGUUUGACUUCCAGGACAUGCCUAAUGUGACUCUGACUCAAACUUAUAGUGCGGUAGUGACAAGGCCUAUCGCUCAAAAGUUGUCUGAUCCCGGUAGUUUUACAAUCCCAUGCACAAUUAGAAGUUAUACUUUUGUUAUAGGAUUGUGUUACUUGGGGGCUAGUAUUAACUUGAUGCCUUUGGCAAUUUAAACAAAAUUAGGAAUUGGAAGAGCUAGACCAACCUUAAUGUUGUUGUAACUGGCUGAUCGCACAGUUAAAAGGCCAAUAUGAAUUAUGGAUGAUGUACUCGUUCAAGUAGGGAAGUUUGUAUUUCCUGCUGAUUUUGUUAUUCUUGACUGCUAGGUUGAUGAAAAAAAUAUCCAUAAUUUUUUUAAAGCCAUUCUUGGCUACUAGGAGAGCAUUGAUUAACUUUGAGACUGGAGAGCUAAAUAUGAGAUUGAAGGAUGAAGAAAUAAUAUUCAAUGUUCAACACUCUAUGAGGAGACCCAGCGAGUUUGCAAAUUGUUCGUGAGUAGAGACAAUUGAUGUGAUACUACAAGAGGAGUAAGAGACUCUCCAUGUUAGAGACCCAUUAGAAGCUUCCUUGAUGAAUUUAAAAGAAGUUGAUGGUGAAAAGUGGGCAGAAUGGGUUAUGGCUCUUGAAGGUCAAGGUUUUUGGAAAGGGAACCUUAAUUUGAGCCCUUACACUUAGAAGAAAAAAAAACCACCUACGAAGCU